AGUGAUGCAGAGUAAAACUCAAAAAACGGUACUCAGUUCGGAUUGAAGGCUGAAAUUCGCCUUCAUGAAGCUGGAAUUGCUAGUAAUGGCAGGUCAGCAUACUGCCGUGAAUACGUUCCCGGGCCUUGUACACACCGCCCGUCACACCAUGAGAGUUGGAAAUACCCGAAGCCUGUGAGCUAACUUAAAGAGGCGGCAGUCGAAGGUAGAGCCAAUGAUUGGGGUGAAGUCGUAACAAGGUAAC
RNAcentral lists this ribosomal RNA (244 nucleotides) under uncultured bacterium. Its description in RNAcentral is "partial 16S ribosomal RNA". It matches the Rfam family "Bacterial small subunit ribosomal RNA", at positions 1256 to 1500 of the family's 1533-position model. The record is from RNAcentral.